Molecule: ribosomal RNA, 259 nt
Filed under: uncultured eukaryote
Lineage: Eukaryota
Description: partial 18S ribosomal RNA
Rfam family: Eukaryotic small subunit ribosomal RNA
Source: RNAcentral
GGUUGAUCCUGCCAGUAGUCAUAUGCUUGUUUAAAAGAUUAAGCCAUGCAAGUCUAAGUAUAAAUUUCUUAUAUAAUGAAACUGCGAAUAGCUCAUUAGAACACUUAUAAAUAGCACGGAAGCUAUAAUAUAUGGAUAUCCAUGGUAAUUCUGGAGUUAAUACAUGCACGAAAUUUUGCAAUGCAAAAUUUUACCAUGGCAACUCACUUCAAUUGAGUGAAAACUCAUUUUAAUGAUUUGCGUGGAUUAAGCAAUCGCA